UAGCUAAGGAAAGGUUUUAUGUGCUCUUUUCAGGAUAGAAAAUAAAGUGAAAUAUUAAUUUGGUUUGUCUCUAGAUAGAAAGGAGUUCUAACAUUCUUGAAGAUCAUCACUUGCUUUUGUAAUUAUUAUGGCAUGAAAUCAUUUUCCUAAGUUAUUUUUUAUAUUUAGUCUCUAGGCAUUGCAAAUUGCUUGGCUGAACUCUAUUCUCUUAUGUUCUUACUCUCAUCUUUUGGUAUAAUUUUCAUGUUUGAUCUAUAUAUAUAUAUAUUGUUCUCUUUUUAUAUUCUUUUACGUUAUUAAGGAAGAUGACUUUUCCUAAUCUGAGUUGUUUAACCUAAAAUUCAAAGUAAAAAAGGGUAAGUGCAAAGACAGUUGAGGAAAAAGAGUUGUGGAGAUAUUUUGAUUUGUUGUUUGAGGAAACAAAAUUUUACGAGAAAGCUUUGAUUGUUGAUUGUUGGUUUGGAAUCAGGAAAUUUCUUAUGUUUUCAUAUUUAAAUUGUGAAUAGGUGGUGGUCGUAGAUGUUUUCAUUCCAGGAGACUUGCAGUUUCUUUUCCCGGAAAAUUGAUUAAGAAAAGAGAGCAAAUGAAAAGAAAAAAGUGUUAUUUUUAAAAAGUAUUAGGACUGAAAAGAAAAUAAAAGGUAUAUUUAGCAUUGACUAAUGAAAUUCAAGAUUGACUAAUGACAAUUUAAGUGUGAGAUUCCAUUUUAGGACUAAUUGUGAGUAGUUUUAAAUGUAUUAGGAUUUGAUUGUAAAAUAAAAAAAUAUCCCAUGUAUUAGGACUUUAGAAGUUUUCCCCUAGUGUACUUAUCUUCUUUCUUAUCUCUGGUAAAGUUAUUAGUUUAUCAAAAAAAAUCUCCAGCUACAAGUUGUGCGCUGCCACACGCAACUCUCGCUUGAUCAACUAUAUUUGCUUCUAAAAUUUUCAUGUUUCUGUAAUAUCCAGUUUGCACAGAGACUUGCUAUUAUUGUCUAUUUAUAUUGUGGAUUCAAAUCGUAGUUGCAUCGCUCUGUGCAAAUCAAAGUGUCUACUCUCCACCUCCUUUGUGGGAUGAAAGAUGCUUCUGCUUUAUCCAAAUUUCAUUAUAUGGUGCAUGGUUCGUCAUUGUAGAAUCUAGGCAUUAUUAUUAAUCAAGUUAUGCUGGUGCAUCACUGGGCAAAUACCCUGCUUACUGUAUUAUGCUUCUGACCUUUAAUUUGUUUUUAUCUGCCAUUUGUGGCUACUUACUCUCCCCAUGAGCAUAUCCAUACAUGAUGCCUUGCUUUUUGGAGAAUUGUUGCGUCACUAGAUUUGUAGAAAAUUUUGUUCAGAUAAACAAGUUUUGGACAACAGGAAGUCAAUUUUAUCCAUGUGCUUUUGGGAUGCAAUAUUUGUGUGCGUGCAAAACACUUCUUAACUAUAUUGCCUUCAUUUGAACAAUUGCAUUCUAAUUGGUGAUGGAGUUACUGCUACUCCUGAAAGGCAGCGAGCAACCAAGGUUGCCCAUAUUGGGCAAAGUUGGUCACUUGAUUUGCCCUGCUUUACUAUAUCUUACACUUGACAGUAUUGGGCGUUUGUUUCCGAUUCCCGCAUAUUAUGUAUGCAACCAUAUUGAUCAUGUCAUAUUUGCCAUCUACUAUUGAAUCUCUUCUUCAAGAAUAUUAAUAUUUUGUAUGAUCUUUGUUUUAGGGUCUGAGAUGGCAUGCAAAGCGCCUCAAGAUAGAUGAAGAUGGUGACGUGGCAGAUGAAUUCCUUGAAGAGGUUUUACCAGAGACAUCAUCCUGUGUUGAUGACCACCAUAAACCAUUGCCGAGGUUUGAAGUGAAGUAUAGUGCCCGACCUGCAAAAAUCAAGAACCAGGUGAUUUCCCAUGAUGGGAAAUUCCAAGUGUGUGUAGAAUAUCAAGGUAGAUUACAAUGGGUGUGAUGUAUUUUGACAUCAAAGUUGAGGUUUGUGGGUUGGGUUUCACUCUUAAGUCUAUAGCACAAGUAUUAUAUUGUUGGCUCGUGCAAGCUAAUUCUUUUAGAUCAGAUUUGUGGUUUUCCAAUGUGGCAUGAAAUGAACUGUUGUAACAAUGCACCCAAAUUGUAUUAGUAUCUGCAUUACAUAGGCUUUUUACGCUAUUGGUUUUACUACAAGAUUUUGAUUUAAGACUGCUUGUUCUGAUUAUCAGAUACAAUUGAAGG
This 2165-nucleotide unclassified non-coding RNA is filed under the name Hevea brasiliensis (rubber tree). Lineage: Eukaryota; Viridiplantae; Streptophyta; Magnoliopsida; Malpighiales; Euphorbiaceae. The record is from RNAcentral.